AUGAGUUGGGGUAGUGAACUUUGGGAUCAGUACGACAAUCUGUCCCUACACACGCAGAAAGGGAUAGAUUUUCUUGAGAGAUAUGGACACUUUAUAAGGGAUCGAUGUAAAAUUGAAGUUGAAUAUGCCGGCAAUCUUAGAAGGCUAGUGAAAAAUUAUCUACCGAAAAAAAAAGAGGAAGAAGAUUAUCAGUAUAGUCCAUGUCGUGCAUUUAAAAUGGAACUAAAUGAAGUUAAUGAUCAAGCCGGUCAAAGAGAGGUGAUUGCUGAAAAUCUCCAAGCAAAUGUACUUCGUGAACUGAAUUUACUUGUCAAGGACUUUAAAGAAGAUAGAAAGAAGCAUCUACAAGAAGGUGCUAGGCUAAUGGCUACGCUAGCUACGCAAAUUGGUAGUUUAGAACGUGCUAGAAAAGCAUAUGAAAAAGCAUAUCGCGAAGCAGAGAGAGCUCUUGAAAAUUACCAACGUGCUGACGCUGAUCUCAAUUUAUCAAGAGCAGAGGUCGAAAAACAACGUAUGAAUAUGACGUUAAAAACACAACAGAGUGAAGAAGCUAAAACAGAAUAUGCUAAUCAAUUGCAAAAGACUAACGAGAUGCAAACUUUACAUUAUCACACAGCAAUGCCACAAGUUUUUCAACAUUUACAAGAAUUAGAUGAAAAGAGAAUAAAAAAUAUGAGAAAUUAUAUGUUAAAAUCAGUAGAAAUAGAACGAUCGGUAGCACCAAUUAUUUCUCAGUGUUUAGAUGGUAUCGAAAAAGCGGCCAAUGAAAUUAAUGAAAAAGAAGAUACUCUUUUAGUAAUCGAACGAUAUAAAAGUGGGUUUACUCCACCUGGUGAUUUUCCUUUUGAAGAUUUAUCAGCUGCAAAAUCGUAUGAUAGUAAUACUCAAUUGUCAACUACAACGAUGCAGCCAAUUCACAAUCACCUCACAGUAAAAGGUACCGUUUCAGGAGGAAAGAUAAAGAAGAGAGUUGGCAUCUUCGGAAUUUUCAGCAGCAAUAAGAAGUUGAUCGAGGUGUGCAUAGCUUUAAAGAACAAUGUACCUGGAUAUGGUGAUGGCGCAAAGGAGGAUUGCAGUGAUUUACCUCCAAACCAGAGGAAGAAAAGACUACAGCAGAGAUUAGAUGAGAUUCAAGCUAAAAUUCAACAAGAAACAGCUGCGCGAGACGCACUGAUGAAAAUGAAAGGUGUUUACGAACAGAAUCCAGCUCUAGGAGAUCCUAUGAGCAUAGAAGGUCAAUUGAAUCAAUCCAGUCAUAAACUAGAUAAGUUAGGUGCUGAAUUGACCAAAUUCCAGGGAUAUUUAGAUGAUGCUAUAAAAGCUGGUGUUGGUCUUUCGAGUCCAAGUCAAGCUCCACGAAAGCCUACAAGCAACGGUUCAACAACGAGGUCUGUUAAUUCACGGAGAUCCAGCCAUUCAGGCGGUGAGGAGAGUUUAUCUCGAUCUGCUUCAGAUUCAAGCGUCACUAAUGCUAACACAAGUCAACCAGCACAUAAGAAAAGUACACCAGGCACGCCUCAACCAACGCAUGAUUCCACGAAUAGCCCGGAAUCUGGUCUUGGUGCUUCACGAACGUCAUUACCUGGCAGCGGAGGUGAAGAAUAUUAUGUUGAUGAAUUGGAUGCUCAACCACCCCUUGGUACUUGUCGAGCUCUCUAUCCCUUUGAUGCCACAAGUGAAGGAUCAAUACCUAUGUAUGAUGGUGAGGAGCUUUACAUGAUUGAAUUGGAUCAAGGUGAUGGAUGGACAAGAGUACGUAGAAUGUCGCAACCUAUAGAGGGAUUUGUUCCAACAUCGUAUAUAGAAUAUCAACUUUACAACACAUAACAAUUUUCUACUAAUAAUACUGACGAAUCUGACUCAAAAUGAGCUUCGACUCGCGAAAAAUGAGUCUUUCAGCAAUAGCGGCAGGACUUCCAGUAACAAUAGUUUCAACAAGGACACAAUUUUGUCCUAUUUCUGGAACAACUUCUUGCUUAAAAACUACCCCUAGUUGAUGAGAGCUGGGCUUACUGAUGAUCAGAUCCAAAAC
RNAcentral lists this unclassified non-coding RNA (2032 nucleotides) under Chelonus insularis. RNAcentral's name for it is "formin-binding protein 1-like, transcript variant X5". The record is from RNAcentral. Lineage: Eukaryota; Metazoa; Arthropoda; Insecta; Hymenoptera; Braconidae.